This 955-nucleotide long non-coding RNA is filed under the name Marmota monax (woodchuck). Lineage: Eukaryota; Metazoa; Chordata; Mammalia; Rodentia; Sciuridae. The record is from RNAcentral.
GUUGUGUUUAAGGUGCUAUUAGUGCAGUGCUAUGGGAAUGAGCCAUGUUAUAGAUUAGCGCUGUCCCGCAGAGCAUUUGCAAAGGUGGAAAUGUUUUCUAUCUAGGUAGGAUAUAUUGAUCAGUCCUGCACUGUAUUCUGUGAUAGUCCUCUUGACUCAUACAUUGUACCUUAUAUAUUUUGUUGUUUUGAUAAUUGUUUUAGUGACUCUUGACUUCAACUUGUAGAAACACAGUUGAAACUGACUUAAGCAAGCAAAAAAACCUAGAAUGUAUUGGCUCCUAUAAUUGGAAAGCCCAGGGAUGAUCAUGUUUCAGAUAUUCCUGGACCUAAGAACUCAAAUGUCAUCAGGAAUUGAAGAGUAGGGUGUGUGUGUGUGUGUGUGUGUGUGUGUGUGUGUGUGUGUUUCUCUAUCCCCAUCCCUUACCAAACUUUUCUGUUUUGCUUUUCUGUCCUUAUAUGCAUUCAGGCAGCUCUAGGCUUAUGGCUCACUAGUGGGGAGGGAGGGAGUUUUUCUACCCCCAGAAAGAUCUUCAAUUAAAGUACUGAAACUGAGUCUUACUGGCUUGGCUUAAAUCACAUGCCCAUCCAGAACUAUCCACUAAGGGAUGAAUGUGAUUAACUAGGUAUGGGCCACGUGCCCACCCCAAGGGAGCCCAGGUUAAAGGUCUACUUUAUCCAUACCAUGUGGCCUAAGUUGGGGAGAAGCAGGUCCCCAAAGAAAAAUUGAGGUCCCUUUACCAGAAGAAGCAGCAAUAAUGCUGCACAAACAUAGCAGGAAAGGUUUACUACAGUCUCACACAGUCAAAAUCUCUUACUUGAAAAAACAUUUAUAUCUAACUGUAAAAGUAAAGGUGCUAAAUGUAGGAAUUUGGAAAAUAUCAAAAAUUAACAAAAUAAAAAUCACCAAAGAUAUAAAUGCCAAAGUGUUCUUUCGAAUCUGUUUUCUCCACAUA